This 253-nucleotide ribosomal RNA is filed under the name uncultured bacterium. Its description in RNAcentral is "partial 16S ribosomal RNA". It matches the Rfam family "Bacterial small subunit ribosomal RNA", at positions 524 to 776 of the family's 1533-position model. The record is from RNAcentral.
UACGUAGGGUGCGAGCGUUGUCCGGAAUUAUUGGGCGUAAAGAGCUUGUAGGCGGUUUGUCGCGUCUGCUGUGAAAAUCCGGGGCUCAACCCCGGACUUGCAGUGGGUACGGGCAGACUAGAGUGUGGUAGGGGAGACUGGAAUUCCUGGUGUAGCGGUGAAAUGCGCAGAUAUCAGGAGGAACACCCGUAGCGAAGGCGGCACUCUGGGCCGAUUCUGACACUGAGGAGCGAAAGCGUGGGGAGCGAACAGG